UACGUAGGGGGCAAGCGUUGUCCGGAAUCAUUGGGCGUAAAGAGCGUGUAGGCGGUCCGGUAAGUCCGCUCUGAAAGUCCGGGGCUCAACCCCGGGAGGCGGGCGGAUACUGUCGGGCUAGAGUCCGGAAGAGGCAAGUGGAAUUCCCGGUGUAGCGGUGAAAUGCGCAGAUAUCAGGAGGAACACCGAUGGCGAAGGCAGCUUGCUGGGACGGUACUGACGCUGAGACGCGAAAGCGUGGGGAGCAAACAGG
Molecule: ribosomal RNA, 253 nt
Filed under: uncultured bacterium
Lineage: Bacteria
Description: partial 16S ribosomal RNA
Rfam family: Bacterial small subunit ribosomal RNA
Source: RNAcentral